CAACCCUCGAGCCCCUCCGGGGGGUCGGCGUUGGGGAUCGGCCUCCUCCCUCCGCGGGCGGGGGGCCGGCCCCGAAAUUCAGUGGCGGUCUCGCCGCAGCCUCUCCUGCGCAGUAGUUUGCACACUCGCACCGGGAGCGCGGCGCGUCCAAUGCCGUAAAACAACCCAAACCUUCUGGAAUG
This 182-nucleotide ribosomal RNA is filed under the name Trichoderma aureoviride. Its description in RNAcentral is "internal transcribed spacer 2 (ITS2)". Lineage: Eukaryota; Fungi; Ascomycota; Sordariomycetes; Hypocreales; Hypocreaceae. The record is from RNAcentral.